UUGUAUCAUGGGUUCGAAUCCCAU
RNAcentral lists this non-coding RNA (24 nucleotides) under Arabidopsis thaliana (thale cress). The record is from RNAcentral. Lineage: Eukaryota; Viridiplantae; Streptophyta; Magnoliopsida; Brassicales; Brassicaceae.